AUGCGGUUAGUAUAAAUAAAAUACUUGAUUUCGGCUCAAGAGCUUAUGGUUAAAGUCCAUAACCGUUUA
Molecule: transfer RNA, 69 nt
Filed under: Kali macrura
Lineage: Eukaryota; Metazoa; Chordata; Actinopteri; Scombriformes; Chiasmodontidae
Description: tRNA-Arg
Rfam family: tRNA
About the family: Transfer RNA (tRNA) molecules are approximately 80 nucleotides in length.
Source: RNAcentral